GACGAACGCUGGCGGCGUGCUUAACACAUGCAAGUCGAACGGUAAGGCCCUUCGGGGUACACGAGUGGCGAACGGGUGAGUAACACGUGGGUGAUCUGCCCUGCACUUCGGGAUAAGCCUGGGAAACUGGGUCUAAUACCGGAUAGGACCCUGGGAUGCAUGUCCUGGGGUGGAAAGCUUUUGCGGUGUGGGAUGGGCCCGCGGCCUAUCAGCUUGUUGGUGGGGUGAUGGCCUACCAAGGCGACGACGGGUAGCCGGCCUGAGAGGGUGACCGGCCACACGGGGACUGAGAUACGGCCCAGACUCCUACGGGAGGUAGCAGUGGGGAAUAUUGCACAAUGGGCGCAAGCCUGAUGCAGCGACGCCGCGUGAGGGAUGACGGCCUUCGGGUUGUAAACCUCUUUCAGCACCGACGAAGCGCAAGUGACGGUAGGUGCAGAAGAAGGACCGGCCGACUACGUGCCAGCAGCCGCCGCGG
RNAcentral lists this ribosomal RNA (478 nucleotides) under uncultured bacterium. RNAcentral describes it as "partial 16S ribosomal RNA". It matches the Rfam family "Bacterial small subunit ribosomal RNA", at positions 28 to 523 of the family's 1533-position model. The record is from RNAcentral.